UGAAGAGCUCAAAUCGAUUUUGGGCGUUUUCCUUUGUUUAGGGCUUCUUGCCCUUAGAGUGGCUGAGAGAGAGAAAACACUGGUCAAUGUGGUCGGGACUGAGAGUUACUAUCACUGGCACGAGUUAGAGGACUGUUGGAGUUGGUGCAUGUGAGAAGGAACGACGCCACUACCACUAUCGACAGGCAGGGAAGGUAAUGAGGGCUGUCUCAGCUGAAACUGAAGGAAAGAUAACGUCGCUGGUUAUGGAGGCGUUGGUGGUGUUAUCGCAAGUUGGAAGAAACAGUGAUGGUUGCUGUGGGUUCUUAGCCGAUGGUUGGAGGCUGGUUGCAGUGUUGAGGCACUGCUGAUUUUAUUGAGAAUGAGAAAAUGAAUGGCGAUGAUGGAGAUUGUUUAUGGGAUGUGGGUGAUUAAUGGAUUUGGGAUAAGAAAGUGAUUAGAGAGAGAUGCUAUGGAUUUAAUGCAAUUGAAAGCAUUUCAUGUCAGUCAUUAUAUGUGAUAACCAUUUUCUACCAUCUUGUGCUCCAUUCAUUUUGGGUUUACAAGGCGAGGAAUUAAGGUGUUUGAUUUUCUACCGAAGGAAAGAAAUUGAAUUCAUUGAAGUGCUGGUUUAAAAGAAAUCAUCUUACCUCGAGGAAUGAAGCAGUGCUGGUUCACAGUUCCUAUCCUUUUCCGUAGUUCUGUUGACCUGAGAUUUUGUACCUCAGCAGUUCCCAAAAACAUGGAACUAAUUUGGCUUUUGUCACACCUUUCCUACCAGGUUAGUGUUAUGAAAAUAUAGCAUGCAUGUUUUUGUUAUCCAUUUUGGAAACAUAGGUCCCCCUUUCCGUUGUAGACUUCUUCGAGCUCCUGUUUCCAUUUAUUUGCCCGGCCUGUUCUCUUGAACCGGAAUACUCAAAGGAUCUAGUUUUGUUCAUGAAAACUGAAACUUUUAAUGCAAUCAUCAUAUUUUUU
Long non-coding RNA from Populus trichocarpa (black cottonwood), 954 nucleotides. RefSeq lists it as uncharacterized. NCBI's taxonomy places the organism in Eukaryota, Viridiplantae, Streptophyta, Magnoliopsida, Malpighiales, Salicaceae. The record is from RefSeq and is a predicted model, not a curated record. The transcript is spliced from 2 exons.